AUUAAGCCAUGCAUGUCUAAGUAUAAGCAAUUAUACGGCGAAACUGCGAAUGGCUCAUUAUAUAAGUUAUCGUUUAUUUGAUAGCACCUUACUACUUGGAUAACCGUGGUAAUUCUAGAGCUAAUACAUGCUAAAAAUCCCGACUUCGGAAGGGAUGUAUUUAUUAGAUUAAAAACCAAUGCCCUCUGGGCUCUCUGGUGAUUCAUGAUAACUUCUCGAAUCGCAUGGCCUUGCGCCGGCGAUGGUUCAUUCAAAUUUCUUCCCUAUCAACUUUCGAUGUUUGGGUAGUGGCCAAACAUGGUUGCAACGGGUAACGGAGGGUUAGGGCUCGACCCCGGAGAAGGAGCCUGAGAAACGGCUACUACAUCCAAGGAAGGCAGCAGGCGCGCAAAUUACCCAAUCCCGACACGGGGAGGUAGUGACAAUAAAUACUGAUACAGGGCUCUUUUGGGUCUUGUAAUUGGAAUGAGUACAAUUUAAAUCCCUUAACGAGGAACAAUUGGAGGGCAAGUCUGGUGCCAGCAGCCGCGGUAAUUCCAGCUCCAAUAGCGUAUAUUAAAGUUGUUGUGGUUAAAAAGCUCGUAGUUGAACCUUGGGCCUGG
Molecule: ribosomal RNA, 602 nt
Filed under: Clavicipitaceae sp. LM428
Lineage: Eukaryota; Fungi; Ascomycota; Sordariomycetes; Hypocreales; Clavicipitaceae
Description: SSU rRNA
Rfam family: Eukaryotic small subunit ribosomal RNA
Source: RNAcentral